This 107-nucleotide microRNA precursor is filed under the name Pelodiscus sinensis (Chinese soft-shelled turtle). RNAcentral describes it as "microRNA 184 (ENSPSIG00000020093.1)". The stretch from base 24 to 107 matches the Rfam family "mir-184 microRNA precursor family". The record is from RNAcentral. Lineage: Eukaryota; Metazoa; Chordata; Testudines; Trionychidae.
GCUCUCGGGACAGUCUCCUGCAGCCAUUCUCGUCUCCUUAUCACUUUUCCAGCCCAGCUGUCUCACUGCAGGUGUUGGACGGAGAACUGAUAAGGGAACGGGACUGA